This 215-nucleotide long non-coding RNA is filed under the name Zostera marina. RNAcentral describes it as "long non-coding RNA (ZMAR_LNC005456)". Lineage: Eukaryota; Viridiplantae; Streptophyta; Magnoliopsida; Alismatales; Zosteraceae. The record is from RNAcentral.
AGUCAGGUACCUCUCUGCUUUGGUACUUCUUCGCUUUUGUUUUCAUGGCAAUCAUCGAAAAGCAAAAGCACCCUUACGCCACAAGAAGUAAGGGGAAAAUGCCAGCAACUGAGCUGGAACAGGGUGAGCAAUCCCGACCAAAGGGACCCGACAAUGCUCAACCUGUUGAAACAAACUCGGUUCCUCCUCUCGUCGAGGAACACAUAGUGCCCAAG